This 402-nucleotide ribosomal RNA is filed under the name uncultured bacterium. Its description in RNAcentral is "partial 16S ribosomal RNA". It matches the Rfam family "Bacterial small subunit ribosomal RNA", at positions 30 to 526 of the family's 1533-position model. The record is from RNAcentral.
AUUGAACGCUAGCGGAAUGCCUACACAUGCAAGUCGAACGAGUGGCGAACGGGUGCGUGAUGUAUCGGAACGUGCCCAUUAGCAGUCGAUAACUACGCGAAAGCGUGCUUUACCACAUACUAUUAAGGCGGCCUCUGUCGGAGUAGCUAGUUGGAGGGGUAACGGCUCACCAAGGCGACGAUCCGUAGCCGGUUUGAGAGGACGAUCAGCCACACUGUGACUGAGACACGGACCAGACUCCUACGGGAGGCAGCAGUGGGGAAUUUUGGACAAUGGGGGAAACCCUGACCCAGCAAUCCCGCGUGUGCGAGGAAGGCUUCGGGUGGUAAAGCACUUUUGGCAGAGAAGCGGUACCUGCAGAAUAAGCACCGGCUAACUACGUGCCAGCAGCCGCGGUAAUUC